CAUUGGGCGGCUACCAUGCAGUCGAGCGGAUGAGGGAGCUUGCUCCCUGAUUUAGCGGCGGACGGGUGAGUAAUGCCUAGGAAUCUGCCUGGUAGUGGGGGAUAACGUUCCGAAAGGAACGCUAAUACCGCAUACGUCCUACGGGAGAAAGCAGGGGACCUUCGGGCCUUGCGCUAUCAGAUGAGCCUAGGUCGGAUUAGCUAGUUGGUGAGGUAAUGGCUCACCAAGGCGACGAUCCGUAACUGGUCUGAGAGGAUGAUCAGUCACACUGGAACUGAGACACGGUCCAGACUCCUACGGGAGGCAGCAGUGGGGAAUAUUGGACAAUGGGCGAAAGCCUGAUCCAGCCAUGCCGCGUGUGUGAAGAAGGUCUUCGGAUUGUAAAGCACUUUAAGUUGGGAGGAAGGGCAUUAACCUAAUACGUUAGUGUUUUGACGUUACCGACAGAAUAAGCACCGGCUAACUUCGUGCCAGCAGCCGCGGUAAUACG
Molecule: ribosomal RNA, 490 nt
Filed under: Ectopseudomonas oleovorans
Lineage: Bacteria; Pseudomonadati; Pseudomonadota; Gammaproteobacteria; Pseudomonadales; Pseudomonadaceae
Description: bacterial SSU rRNA
Rfam family: Bacterial small subunit ribosomal RNA
Source: RNAcentral